CAGUUCGGAUUGAAGGCUGAAAUUCGCCUUCAUGAAGCCGGAAUUGCUAGUAAUGGCAGGUCAGCAUACUGCCGUGAAUACGUUCCCGGGCCUUGUACACACCGCCCGUCACACCAUGAGAGUUGGGAAUACCCGAAGCCUGUGAGCUAACUGUAAAGAGGCAGCAGUCGAAGGUAGAAUCAAUGAUUGGGGUGAAGUCGUAACAAGGUAAC
RNAcentral lists this ribosomal RNA (212 nucleotides) under uncultured bacterium. RNAcentral describes it as "partial 16S ribosomal RNA". It matches the Rfam family "Bacterial small subunit ribosomal RNA", at positions 1289 to 1500 of the family's 1533-position model. The record is from RNAcentral.